RNAcentral lists this ribosomal RNA (469 nucleotides) under uncultured Syntrophus sp. Its description in RNAcentral is "bacterial SSU rRNA". It matches the Rfam family "Bacterial small subunit ribosomal RNA", at positions 916 to 1381 of the family's 1533-position model. Lineage: Bacteria; Pseudomonadati; Thermodesulfobacteriota; Syntrophia; Syntrophales; Syntrophaceae. The record is from RNAcentral.
ACGGGGCCCGCACAAGCGGUGGAGCAUGUGGUUUAAUUCGAUGCAACGCGAAGAACCUUACCUGGGCUUGACAUCCCGGGAAUCCCCUGGAAACAGGGGAGUGCCCUUCGGGGAACCCGGUGACAGGUGCUGCAUGGCUGUCGUCAGCUCGUGUCGUGAGAUGUUGGGUUAAGUCCCGCAACGAGCGCAACCCUUGUCUUUAAUUGCCAUCAUUUAGUUGGGCACUUUAAAGAGACUGCCGGUGUUAAGCCGGAGGAAGGUGGGGAUGACGUCAAGUCCUCAUGGCCUUUAUGCCCAGGGCUACACACGUGCUACAAUGGGCGGUACAAAGGGUAGCGAUGCCGCGAGGUGAAGCCAAUCCCAAAAAGCCGUCCACAGCUCGGAUUGGAGUCUGCAACUCGACUCCAUGAAGCCGGAAUCGCUAGUAAUCGUGGAUCAGCAUGCCACGGUGAAUACGUUCCCGGGCCUU